RNAcentral lists this non-coding RNA (68 nucleotides) under bovine gut metagenome. RNAcentral's name for it is "Cyclic di-GMP-I riboswitch". It matches the Rfam family "c-di-GMP-I riboswitch aptamer", at positions 7 to 83 of the family's 87-position model. Rfam says of the family: GEMM was predicted in a large-scale screen for bacterial structured RNA regulatory elements. The record is from RNAcentral.
AAAGGGCAAAACCGUUGAAAGACGGUGGCGCAAAGCUAUAGGGCCUUCAAGUUAAGGCAGCCAGCUGC